Molecule: ribosomal RNA, 460 nt
Filed under: uncultured bacterium
Lineage: Bacteria
Description: partial 16S ribosomal RNA
Rfam family: Bacterial small subunit ribosomal RNA
Source: RNAcentral
CCUACGGGUGGCAGCAGUGAGGAAUAUUGGUCAAUGGACGAGAGUCUGAACCAGCCAAGUAGCGUGAAGGAUGACUGCCCUAUGGGUUGUAAACUUCUUUUAUAUGGGAAUAAAAUGUUCCACGUGUGGGAUUUUGUAUGUACCAUAUGAAUAAGGAUCGGCUAACUCCGUGCCAGCAGCCGCGGUAAUACGGAGGAUCCGAGCGUUACCCGGUUUUAUUGGGUUAAAAGGGAGCGUAGGUGGAUUGUUAAGUCAGUUGUGAAAGUUUGCGGCUCAACCGUAAAAUUGCAGUUGAAACUGGCAGUCUUGAGUACAGUAGAGGUAGGCGGAAUUCGUGGUGUAGCGGUGAAAUGCUUAGAUAUCACGAAGAACUCCGAUUGCGAAGGCAGUUCACUGGACUGCAACUGACACUGAGGCUCGAAAGUGUGGGUAUCAAACGGGAUUAGAUACCCUAGUAGUC